CAGGGCUUUCGUCUUGUAAUUGGAAUGAUGGUGAUGUACAACCUCACCAGAGUACCAAUUGGAGGGCAAGUCUGGUGCCAGCAGCCGCGGUAAUUCCAGCUCCAAUAGCGUAUAUUAAACUUGUUGCAGUUAAAAAGCUCGUAGUUGUAUUUCAGCCUCGCGUUUUUUCCCUCUUUUCGGGUCUUUUCGCUGGCUUUGUUUUUACUUUGAGAAAAUUAGAAUGUUCAAAGCAGGCCUAAAGCCGGAAUACAUUAGCAUGGAAUAAUAAAAUAGGACGUGUGAUUCUAUUUUGUUGGUUUUUAGAAUUACCGUAAUGAUUAAUAGGAACAGUUGGGGGCAUUUGUAUUCAGUAGCUAGAGGUGAAAUUCUUGGAUUUACUGAAGACAAACUACUGCGAAAGCAUUUGCCAAGGAUGUUUUCAUUAAUAAAGGAC
This 433-nucleotide ribosomal RNA is filed under the name Babesia bigemina. RNAcentral describes it as "SSU rRNA". It matches the Rfam family "Eukaryotic small subunit ribosomal RNA", at positions 486 to 984 of the family's 1831-position model. Lineage: Eukaryota; Apicomplexa; Aconoidasida; Piroplasmida; Babesiidae. The record is from RNAcentral.